Molecule: long non-coding RNA, 769 nt
Filed under: Suricata suricatta (meerkat)
Lineage: Eukaryota; Metazoa; Chordata; Mammalia; Carnivora; Herpestidae
Description: lncRNA (ENSSSUG00005003589.1)
Source: RNAcentral
CAAAUCUGGGAUUACUCUACAAUGAACAGGCUUUGGAUGUGGCGGUGACAGUAGUUGGCUGCUCUUAUUCUAUGACUGUCAUCGCGAAACGUUAAUUUUAAACAUCUGGGAAAGGGGAACAUUAACCAUGCCUCAAAAUCAGGAGAGCUUGCUAAUUGAACUUGAAGCAUUAAAUGUUCUCCUGAAAGCACUCAACCUAAUGAGGUAACAAAAGCUCCAGAGGACAAAAAUUAAGCAAAGCAAGUUAGUUCUUGAAUGAAACUCUUGAAACCCCAAUUUGAGACAAUAAAGAAGAAGGAAAAGGAAAAAAAAUUAGAAAAAGGAAAAAUGACAGAAUAUGAGGUCUUUAUUGAUUUUUUUAAAGUAACCUCUACACCCAGCCUGGGGCUCGAACUCACAACCCCAAGAUCAGGAGUGGCUUGCUCUUCCAACUGUGCCUGCCAGGCACCCACAGUGGCUCCUAUAUUUAGGAUGUGGUACUGUGCACUGUGGAACCUGUGGACCAUUGCCCCUCCGUGGCUUCCUUCUCAACUCCAUCUUUACAUACCUGCCCCAAAAGGUCCUCAAUCAUAAAAGGCUGCAUUCCACUGCUGUCGGUGAGAGGUGACGGUGAUCUGGACUGGAGCUGGGGAGGUGGAAAUGGAAAGAAGCAAUCUGAUCUCAGAUAUAUUGUGGAGGAAUUUCCAAUAGGACUAGCUGAAGGUCUGGAUAUAGGAAGUAAGAGAGAAAGAAGCAGGAACCAAGGAAGAAAACUUCUAGGUCUCUAACU